AGCAGCCGCGGUAAUACGUAGGUGGCAAGCGUUGUCCGGAAUUAUUGGGCGUAAAGCGCGCGCAGGCGGUUUCUUAAGUCUGAUGUGAAAGCCCCCGGCUCAACCGGGGAGGGUCAUUGGAAACUGGGGAACUUGAGUGCAGAAGAGGAGAGUGGAAUUCCACGUGUAGCGGUGAAAUGCGUAGAGAUGUGGAGGAACACCAGUGGCGAAGGCGACUCUCUGGUCUGUAACUGACGCUGAGGCGCGAAAGCGUGGGGAGCGAACAGGAUUAGAUACCCUGGUAGUCCACGCCGUAAACGAUGAGUGCUAAGUGUUAGAGGGUUUCCGCCCUUUAGUGCUGCAGCAAACGCAUUAAGCACUCCGCCUGGGGAGUACGGUCGCAAGACUGAAACUCAAAGGAAUUGACGGGGGCCCGCACAAGCGGUGGAGCAUGUGGUUUAAUUCGAAGCAACGCGAAGAACCUUACCAGGUCUUGACAUCCUCUGACAACCCUAGAGAUAGGGCUUCCCCUUCGGGGGCAGAGUGACAGGUGGUGCA
RNAcentral lists this ribosomal RNA (537 nucleotides) under Bacillus glycinifermentans. Its description in RNAcentral is "bacterial SSU rRNA". It matches the Rfam family "Bacterial small subunit ribosomal RNA", at positions 510 to 1045 of the family's 1533-position model. Lineage: Bacteria; Bacillati; Bacillota; Bacilli; Caryophanales; Bacillaceae. The record is from RNAcentral.